ACUCCUACGGGAGGCAGCAGUGGGGAAUAUUGCACAAUGGGCGCAAGCCUGAUGCAGCAACGCCGCGUGAGCGAAGAAGGUCUUCGGAUCGUAAAGCUCUUUUCUUAGGGAAGAAAACUGACGGUACCUAAGGAAUAAGCACCGGCUAAAUACGUGCCAGCAGCCGCGGUAAUACGUAUGGUGCAAGCGUUAUCCGGAAUCACUGGGCGUAAAGGGUGCGUAGGCGGUUUUGCAAGUCAGAAGUGAAAGGCUACGGCUCAACCGUAGUAAGCUUUUGAAACUGCAAGACUAGAGUGCAGGAGAGGAAAGUGGAAUUCCUAGUGUAGAGGUGAAAUUCGUAGAUAUUAGGAGGAACACCAGUGGCGAAGGCGACUUUCUGGACUGUAACUGACGCUGAUGCACGAAAGCGUGGGGAGCGAACAGGAUUAGAUACCCUGGUAGCACAGAG
This 448-nucleotide ribosomal RNA is filed under the name uncultured bacterium. RNAcentral's name for it is "bacterial SSU rRNA". It matches the Rfam family "Bacterial small subunit ribosomal RNA", at positions 335 to 799 of the family's 1533-position model. The record is from RNAcentral.